UACGAAGGGGGCUAGCGUUGUUCGGAAUUACUGGGCGUAAAGCGCGCGUAGGCGGACGUUUAAGUCAGGGGUGAAAUGCCGGGGCUCAACCUCGGAACUGCCUUUGAUACUGGACGUCUGGAGUUCGGGAGAGGUGAGUGGAAUUCCGAGUGUAGAGGUGAAAUUCGUAGAUAUUCGGAGGAACACCAGAAGCGAAGGCGGCUCACUGGCCCGAUACUGACGCUGAGGCGCGAAA
Molecule: ribosomal RNA, 235 nt
Filed under: uncultured prokaryote
Description: partial 16S ribosomal RNA
Rfam family: Bacterial small subunit ribosomal RNA
Source: RNAcentral